UACGAAGGGGGCUAGCGUUGCUCGGAAUCACUGGGCGUAAAGCGCACGUAGGCGGGUCGUUAAGUCGGGGGUGAAAUCCUGGAGCUCAACUCCAGAACUGCCUUCGAUACUGGCGACCUUGAGUCCGGGAGAGGUGAGUGGAACUCCGAGUGUAGAGGUGAAAUUCGUAGAUAUUAGGAAGAACACCAGUGGCGAAGGCGGCUCACUGGCCCGGUACUGACGCUGAGGUGCGAAAGCGUGGGGAGCAAACAGG
RNAcentral lists this ribosomal RNA (253 nucleotides) under uncultured bacterium. RNAcentral describes it as "partial 16S ribosomal RNA". It matches the Rfam family "Bacterial small subunit ribosomal RNA", at positions 524 to 776 of the family's 1533-position model. The record is from RNAcentral.